AUUGAACGCUGGCGGCAUGCUUUACACAUGCAAGUCGAACGGUAACAGGCCGCAAGGUGCUGACGAGUGGCGAACGGGUGAGUAAUGCAUCGGAACGUGCCCAGUCGUGGGGGAUAACUACUCGAAAGAGUAGCUAAUACCGCAUACGAUCUAUGGAUGAAAGCGGGGGACCGUAAGGCCUCGCGCGAUUGGAGCGGCCGAUGUCAGAUUAGGUAGUUGGUGGGGUAAAGGCUCACCAAGCCAACGAUCUGUAGCUGGUCUGAGAGGACGACCAGCCACACUGGGACUGAGACACGGCCCAGACUCCUACGGGAGGCAGCAGUGGGGAAUUGUGGACAAUGGGCGCAAGCCUGAUCCAGCAAUGCCGCGUGCAGGAAGAAGGCCGUCGGGUUGUAAACUGCUUUUGUACGGAACGAAACGGCUCUGGUUAAUACCCGGGGCUAAUGACGGUACCGUAAGAAUAAGCACCGGCUAACUACG
Molecule: ribosomal RNA, 480 nt
Filed under: uncultured bacterium
Lineage: Bacteria
Description: partial 16S ribosomal RNA
Rfam family: Bacterial small subunit ribosomal RNA
Source: RNAcentral